RNAcentral lists this ribosomal RNA (3540 nucleotides) under Armillaria solidipes. Its description in RNAcentral is "small subunit ribosomal RNA". Lineage: Eukaryota; Fungi; Basidiomycota; Agaricomycetes; Agaricales; Physalacriaceae. The record is from RNAcentral.
AUCCGUAAGAAUUUAAUUUUGGUUCUGAUUGAACGUUUUUCAGUAGUUUUAAGACAUGCAAAUCAUUAUUAAUAAAAGAUAUUAUUAUAUAAAUUCCAAAUAAAUAAUAUUAAUAAAAAAUAAGGUGUAAGGGUGAGUAUAGGUAGAUUAGAUACCUUAUAGACUCCUUAAAUAGGAGAUUAUUACUUCUUGAUCCACAAAGGAUCCGGUAUGCAAGCUUUGCACAACUCGAAAAAGAUACUUAAAGUAAUAUAAAAUUAAGAAAAGAAAUAUUUUUGCCUAACAAACAAAAUAAAAAGAUAAUCUUUUUAAAAAAUUUCAAUAAAUUAACAGUAGUUAACAAUUAAAUUUUAGUAAAUUUAAAUUAGUGCUAAAGCUCCCCUCUCUUUACAGUUGUAAGAGCGGUCGUGGGCUAAAGUUUAAGGACAAGUAAUAUAAUAAUUUAGCAAUUAUAAAAAGGAAAUUUUCCGCUAUAAGAUUUGAUCUAUUCUGUUUAAAGGUAGUUGGUAGAGUAAAAGCCUAUCCAAGCCUACGAUCAGUAGCUAAGUUUGAAAGAACAAAUAGCCACAUAGGUAAUGAAAUUUUCCUAGUAGUGUUUUUACUACCAGCAGUCAAGAAUCUUAGUCAAUGCUCGCAAGAGUGAACUAGCUAACUGAAAUCGCAUAUUUCGUUAAUGGAAAUGUGAUAAAGUAAGGGAAGAAGUCUGACGUUACCUUACUAUAAGUGUUGUCCAAAGCUGCAAUGUGUUGUGGGAAGACACUAAUGAGGCGAUUUAAACUAUCAAACUCCGGGAACACCCUAAAGCUUAUGUUACCAAGCUAUAGUCGAAAGACUAUAAGUGGCUGAACUAAUCACUCAGGUACGGUAAUAAGACAUAAGAUAGAUGAAAAUAAAAUGGGCAAUCGCGGAUCUAAAUCAGUAUUGAAAAAUACUGUAAAAGAGCAACGAGUAGACGGUAGUUGGAGUAAUGAUUCUAAAUUACUCUUAAGGUGUACUCUAAUGGGCUGCGAAAGCAGUUAUCCUGUCAAAAUCCCAUCUAAACAAUUAAAUAGAUUAUUUUUUUCUACGGUUAGUGGUGUAAAACCUAAACUGAAUCCUUAUUUUGUCACUGGUUUUGCCGACGCUGAAUCAUGCUUUUGUACUACAAUUGUAAAAAAUGUUAAAUUAAAAACUUUUUAUCGUGUAAGAGCUUUUUUUGCAAUUCGAUUAAAUCAACGUGAUAGGUAUUUAUUAAUUCAGUUACAAGAAUUUUUUGGUGGGAUAGGUACAAUUAGUUUUGAUAAAAAAGCUAAAGCGUUUAAGUAUUCAGUAGAUAGUCUUAAAGAUUUAACAACUACUAUUAUACCUCAUUUUAAAAAAUAUCCACUUUUGACUCAAAAAGCAGCUGAUUUUUUAUUAUUUGAACAAGUAGUUGAACUAAUGAACGCAGGUUCUCAUCUUACUGUUAAUGGUCUACAAGAAAUAGUUAAUAUUAAUGCAUCUAUGAAUUUAGGUAGUUCUGAUAUUGUUAAAUCAAAUUUUAGUAAAAUUAAUCCAGUAGAAAGAGCAAUUAUUCAAACUACAAAUAUAACUGAUCCAAAUUGGGUAUCGGGUUUUGUAAGUGGUGAGGGUAAUUUUGAUGCUGGAAUUAGAACGGCAACCAAUAAAAUUGGUUAUCGAGCAUAUUUAAGAUUUAGAGUUACACAACACGCAAGAGAUACCCAAUUAAUGGAGUUAUUAAUUAAAUAUUUAGGGGCAGGUAGACUUGAAAAAGAUUACCGAAAAAACAAAAUUUGUGUAAAUUUAGUAAUAGGUAAUUUUUCAGACUUAACCCAAAUAAUUGUACCAUUCUUUAACCAAUACCCUGUUUUGGGUGUUAAAUACUUAGAUUAUCUAGAUUGGUGUAAAAUUGCUAAUUUAAUCACUUCAGGUUCCCAUCAAACAAUUGAAGGGUUCGAAGAAAUUCGACAAAUUGAAUCUGGAAUGAACAAAGGUAGAAAAUAAUAAUAAUAUUUAAUUGCAUGAUAAAUUUGAUGAUCAUGGGUGCCAGAAGACUCGGUAAGGCCAGAGACGCAAACGUUAAUCGCAAUAACCAGGCGUAAAGGGUUCGUAGGCAGCUUAAAAAUUUUAAAUUAUAUAGCUAUAUGAUUAAUAUACUUAUUAAUUAUAAUAAUUUUAAAAAUAAUACAAGAUAUAAUCAAAUAGAGGAUAAGUUGAACAAUACUUAGAGUAAGGGUUAAAUCUAUAGAUACUAAGUAGAAUACUCAAGGUGAAAACUUUUUAUCCAUUAUUGAUGGAAGCUGAGGAACGAAGGUUUGAACAGAAAAUAGGAUGUGCGACUUGAUAAGUCUAAUUAUUGUAUUGUAUUCUCAGAAUACAUUAUCUUUCGUCUGAUAAUAGCCAACCUAGACAUGCAAAAGAUUUGAUUUGAAUUUUAUCUUUCCAGAAAUGGUUUUGUGUGAAGCUCUAGGGUAAAGUUAAUUUAAAGGGUAAUCUACCUUGAACAUUUGAAAUUCAAAUGUUUUAUAACGAAGGCUGAUUUCUAAGGUUAGGGAGACCGAACUUAUGUAGUAAAGCUUAUUAAUUAGGCAACUAAUCGUCCUAGUUAGUUGUAGACGAACAAAUAAUUAAUAUUUCAAAGUAAGAACCUAAGGAAAUCUAUCGUACAUAAUUAGAAACAAGGGAACACCUAUAACCUGCAAUUAAUGUUUUUGCUAGCUUAUUCCGUAAGGGUAAGUACAUGGUUAGAGGUAAUAUGAUUUAGAAAAAAGCGAAUGUCUAUUUGUAAUGAAUAGAAUAAGGCUAUGCCUAACCUGAAAGGGUGCCUACUUUCUAAAGGUGCUAUAACAAAUAUAAUAAAUAUUUAAUUAAUAAAACAUUUUUACUUAUUUAAUUUAACCUCUGCGUAGCGCGUAGCAGUAGCGUAGCCUAUUUAAAUUUUAAACGCCCCACUUUAGUAGUAGUUAUAAAAAAGAUUCUUUUUUUUUUAAUUAGGAUACAUAUUCUUUAUUAAUAUAUAUCUUUUCGGCUGCAGUAGCAAGCGUUUAUAGAAGAAAAGAUUAAACCAACUCCAAUUAAACUUGAACAUGCAAUUCCAACUCCUAUUUAUUUAGCUGCUGCUAACUUAAAAUUUAAGAUAUGUAAUAAUAAAAAUCGAAUUGUUGCCUGAAAUUCGGCAACAUGAAGAAGGAAUUUCGAGUAAUCGUUGAUCACAAGCGCAACGGUGAAGGUAAAAAAUUCGUGAUGAACUAACUGUCUGUCACUGGGAAGAAGCUCGGGUAGGGGGAAACUGCUUCUUAAUUAAUCACUUUUUCUAAAGAAUAGCUUAAAUUUUAUUAAGUAAAAUUUUAAGUGUUGUUUUAUUGAUAAACUUUUAAAUUUUUAAUUGUUUAUCCUUAUUAGUAUUUUGGGGGGUGUACACCACCCACCAUUUUUACAAUAUUUUAGUAAGAUUAAACAUCUUUGUUAAGCUUAAUUAGUCUUAGUUAACUCAUCUAAGUAACAUCUCAAAAGUCAUAGCAAGGUAGCUGUACUGGAAAGUGCUGCUGUAAUAUAAAUACA